RNAcentral lists this ribosomal RNA (458 nucleotides) under uncultured Clostridium sp. RNAcentral describes it as "bacterial SSU rRNA". It matches the Rfam family "Bacterial small subunit ribosomal RNA", at positions 924 to 1382 of the family's 1533-position model. Lineage: Bacteria; Bacillati; Bacillota; Clostridia; Eubacteriales; Clostridiaceae. The record is from RNAcentral.
CACAAGCAGCGGAGCAUGUGGUUUAAUUCGAAGCAACGCGAAGAACCUUACCUAGACUUGACAUCUCCUGAAAUUACUCUGUAAUGGAGGAAGCCACUUCGGUGGCAGGAAGACAGGUGGUGCAUGGUUGUCGUCAGCUCGUGUCGUGAGAUGUUGGGUUAAGUCUCGCAACGAGCGCAACCCUUAUUGUUAGUUGCUACCAUUUAGUUGAGCACUCUAGCGAGACUGCCCGGGUUAACCGGGAGGAAGGUGGGGAUGACGUCAAAUCAUCAUGCCCCUUAUGUCUAGGGCUACACACGUGCUACAAUGGUCGGUACAAUGAGAUGCAACCUCGCGAGAGUGAGCAAAACUAUAAAACCGAUCUCAGUUCGGAUUGUAGGCUGAAACUCGCCUACAUGAAGCUGGAGUUGCUAGUAAUCGCGAAUCAGAAUGUCGCGGUGAAUACGUUCCCGGGCCUU